This 289-nucleotide long non-coding RNA is filed under the name Coffea arabica (coffee). RNAcentral's name for it is "long non-coding RNA (CARA_LNC008190)". Lineage: Eukaryota; Viridiplantae; Streptophyta; Magnoliopsida; Gentianales; Rubiaceae. The record is from RNAcentral.
AAAUGGAAACAGUCCCCAAAAGUACAUUUAGGAUUUUAAUAUAUGAGCUAUACAAAAGAUAUGUUCAACUAGUUCAAUUUGGCAGCCAUUUGUCAAAUCCAGACCAAAAGUGUUUAUUUUCCUGUAAGGAAAACAAAAGGAACAGAAAGGGGUGAGCUUGCGCUCAAUGAGGUACCAACCAGAUAGCAAUAAAAUCAUGGCAUUUCACGUUUAGCAACUCAAGUACACAUGCCAGAUGUAAAGCAAAGGAACCAAUGAUUCAAAUCAGAAGGAUACGGGUGGCUCUCAG